Molecule: ribosomal RNA, 163 nt
Filed under: Corymbia bleeseri
Lineage: Eukaryota; Viridiplantae; Streptophyta; Magnoliopsida; Myrtales; Myrtaceae
Description: 5.8S ribosomal RNA
Rfam family: 5.8S ribosomal RNA
About the family: 5.8S ribosomal RNA (5.8S rRNA) is a component of the large subunit of the eukaryotic ribosome.
Source: RNAcentral
AUAACGACUCUCGGCAACGGAUAUCUCGGCUCUCGCAUCGAUGAAGAACGUAGCGAACUGCGAUACUUGGUGUGAAUUGCAGAAUCCCGUGAACCAUCGAGUCUUUGAACGCAAGUUGCGCCCGAAGCCUUUCGGCCGAGGGCACGUUUGCCUGGGUGUCACU